CACCGCCAACCGAUCAGCAGGCGUUACCGUGACGACAACGAGCUGAAGCGCUGCAAGAAACCGUCUUGACAUCCUCCCGCCUCCAAACAGGAAACCGCAGCGGGGGGAGGAAGCCUCCUCGCCGUCGGCUGCACCUCCAUCGGCCUCGUUUCCUCCAGAGAGAACGCCGCUCUCCUUCACGGGGCGACUUCAGGACUUGUGAUGAAGAUCCGGAGGAGCAACGUGGACCUGAGCAGAGAAUCAUCUCUCUUCUAGCUGCACGUUGAGCGUUGGUACAGAAACGUGGCCCAACCCUGAAACUCAGGCCCGAUUCCAGUCUGCCCGACCUCUGACCCCCGAGGAACUGAGCGUGAGCGUCUGAGGGCUUCAAACGCAUGCUGACCUACGGAGACGGUUCAUAAAAGGGCUCAAACAUUGGAAGAUGAGACGGA
Gasterosteus aculeatus aculeatus (three-spined stickleback) is the source of this 431-nucleotide long non-coding RNA. The record is from Ensembl. NCBI's taxonomy places the organism in Eukaryota, Metazoa, Chordata, Actinopteri, Perciformes, Gasterosteidae.